UGUCAAUGUAGCCCGAAACCCGUGGGCCGACCCGAAUAACCCGACAAAAUUAGAGGGUUAGGGUUGAAAAAUCGCAACCCGAUUACAAAUCGGGCUAAUCGGGCCAGCCCGAUCGGGCUGUCGGGUUGAAGCGGGCCAGCCCGUCGGGUUGUCGGGCCAGCCCGUCGGGCUAUUGAAUUAUUAAAAAAAAAAAAAGUUACUGAUUUUAGGCUUUUACUUUAGGGUUUGCUUAAGGAUUUUUCACGCUUCAGCGCGCCUCCAACUCUCCAGACUCCAAAUUCUCCAACCAUUCCACUUCCAUCGUUCACCGGAAUCACCGCGCGUCGUUGAGAUUUUAGGGUCAGCAGUUCAGCGCGUCUCUGCAGCCGCGUCGUCCUUCGUUCGCCUCUGCAUCUGCCGCCAUUUGCCACCACCGACCCGACACCACCUCCAGCCACCGGUCUGCGUCGUCAACUCCUCCACUCGCGGCAGUCGGCACCAGGUCCGCCACCACCUCCGGCCGUCGACUUUUGAAAACCCGUGCUUGCCAUCAAUCAUUCAUAGGUGUUAAAGAUGGAGUACUCAUUUCCAAGUGUUGAUAUGGAGAGUGGUGAAGAAGAUGUCAAAAUUCUUGAAGAUUCCAAGCCUAAGAAUAGACAAAUGAUAAUUUUAUGAAAAUUCUUGGAGGACUCAUCUAUGUAUAUUUUAUACAUUAUACAUUAUAUCAUUAAGAAUAAUGAAUAAUAAAAUACAAAUGAUAAUUUUA
Molecule: long non-coding RNA, 745 nt
Organism: Salvia miltiorrhiza (redroot sage)
Lineage: Eukaryota; Viridiplantae; Streptophyta; Magnoliopsida; Lamiales; Lamiaceae
Exons: 2
Source: RefSeq, a predicted model, not a curated record